UGCUGCCUGAAGCCAGCACUUCGGGUAGAGUCAGGGGUCGCUGGUUGGCUCCUGGGGUGCUCAGGGAAGUGAUGUCGACAGCAGGAGAGGCCAUCUUCCACCUCCUUCCUGGGAAGCUGGCCAGGUGAUUAUAUGCCACAGGACUUCAUAUCCUUUGGAGAUGGAGGCAAUUGGUGAGCUGCCUGACAUGACAUGGGAGCUGGGAACUGAGCGAGGUCCUCUGGAAGCAUGUGACUUGAAGCACCAAGCUAUCUCUUACUCGCUGUAGCCCUAGCCAUCUCUCCAGCGUCUGCAUACAGUGAAUACAAUAUGAAUGGAGUAUGCUCAUGUGAACUAGUUUACUAAGGCCACAUUUGUAGUAUUCCUCUACAAAGAAGAAUUCUGAGCUUAAGAUAACCUGUAUGGACUUUGGAUGCAACUUGCUCCUUUGCCAAUCAAAGGGAAAAUUGCCAAGCAACUUAAAAAUGAGAGACAGGGUCUCACUAUGCACCAGCCUUGUCUGGCUUGGAGCUUGCUGUACAACCAGGUUGGCCUCAAACUCACAACGAUCUGCUGCCAGCCUUGACUCUCAGCUGCUGGGAUUAUGAGCCACCACGUACAUCAGAUGAAUUGGUUUUGGGUUUAUUUCAUUGAGUCAGCAAGGUAUUAUUAAGUAUAAAUAUCAUCAUAUUGCCAGAAAUAAUAUUUUAAUGCCACUUUCAUUUUUAAUUCAUGAAAAUGGCCAUUUGCCCUGACUUGAGGAGUAGUUUUGGC
Peromyscus californicus insignis is the source of this 753-nucleotide long non-coding RNA. RefSeq lists it as uncharacterized. The transcript has 4 exons. Lineage: Eukaryota; Metazoa; Chordata; Mammalia; Rodentia; Cricetidae. The record is from RefSeq and is a predicted model, not a curated record.